CCUACGGGGGGCUGCAGUAGGGAAUAUUGCUCAAUGGGGGAAACCCUGAAGCAGCAACGCCGCGUGGAGGAUGAAGGUUUUCGGAUUGUAAACUCCUUUUGUUAGAGAAGAUAAUGACGGUAUCUAACGAAUAAGCACCGGCUAACUCCGUGCCAGCAGCCGCGGUAAUACGGAGGGUGCAAGCGUUACUCGGAAUCACUGGGCGGAAAGAGCGCGGAGGCGGGAUAGCAAGUCAGAUGUGAAAUCCUAUGGCUUAACCAUAGAACUGCAUUUGAAACUGUUAUUCUAGAGUAUGGGAGAGGUAGGUGGAAUUCUUGGUGUAGGGGUAAAAUCCGUAGAGAUCAAGAGGAAUACUCAUUGCGAAGGCGACCUGCUAGAACAUAACUGACGCUGAUGCGCGAAAGCGUGGGGAGCAAACAGGAUUAGAUACCCGGGUAGUC
This 440-nucleotide ribosomal RNA is filed under the name uncultured bacterium. RNAcentral describes it as "partial 16S ribosomal RNA". It matches the Rfam family "Bacterial small subunit ribosomal RNA", at positions 338 to 795 of the family's 1533-position model. The record is from RNAcentral.